UCAAGCAGUGGUACCGCCCUAUUAGGCGAUGGUACCGCCCUGUCAAGCGAUGGUACCAUUAGAGCCUAGUCUCCGAGGCUUUGUCAAGUGGUAGUACCGCCAAACUGGGUGAUGGUACCACCUAGUGUUAGAGUGUCAGACGGUAGUACCACCCAAUACUGACGGUGGUACCGCUAGUACCCCGAAAACCCGGAAUAAGAUACUUUUAGGCUUCAAUUUUGAAGCCAUUGGGGCCUAUAAAUACCUCAUUCCUUUCUGCAUGAAAGUAUAUCAAACUGUGAACAAAAUCUUGAAGUGUUGGAGUAUGAAAAAAUUGUAAAAGUGCUAAGUGUUCUCCUCCCUCUCUAAGUUUUAUGAUCAUUCAAGUGAGGUGUGAAGCUGGUAAGAGUUCUCUCCUAAACCCGUGAAAAUGAGAAAGUAUUGUUAGAGGGUGCUUGGUCUUCGCCCAUUGAAGG
This 455-nucleotide long non-coding RNA is filed under the name Musa acuminata (dwarf banana). RNAcentral describes it as "long non-coding RNA (MACU_LNC009253)". Lineage: Eukaryota; Viridiplantae; Streptophyta; Magnoliopsida; Zingiberales; Musaceae. The record is from RNAcentral.